AGACCAUGAUGAGGACAACAUUGAAGUAAUUCUUUGUAUCUUUCUCGAGCAUCAUACAACAUUUCAGAAUCUUGCUGCAUGCAUGAUGUGAUAUCAUUCCUCAUUUU
This 107-nucleotide small nucleolar RNA is filed under the name Theobroma cacao (cacao). RNAcentral's name for it is "Plant small nucleolar RNA R71". It matches the Rfam family "Plant small nucleolar RNA R71". From Rfam's summary of the family: R71 is a member of the C/D box family of snoRNAs containing the C (UGAUGA) and D (CUGA) box motifs. Multiple nearly identical copies of this snoRNA have been identified in Arabidopsis, and it is thought to function as a 2'-O-ribose methylation guide for 18S ribosomal RNA. Lineage: Eukaryota; Viridiplantae; Streptophyta; Magnoliopsida; Malvales; Malvaceae. The record is from Rfam by way of RNAcentral.